CCCAAACUAUCUCUCAGGAACCACUGAGUGGGAACGGGCACUAAGUAUCCAGCGGGGAAAGAAGACCCUGUAGAGCUUCACUUUGGUCUAGUCUUGUAUAGGCUGGCGGGGACAGACUAGGGGGGAGAGCAAUCGACCAUGAGAAACCACUGCCCUGUUUAGAAUUAUCCUUACCU
RNAcentral lists this ribosomal RNA (176 nucleotides) under Tetratrichomonas gallinarum. RNAcentral's name for it is "partial 28S rRNA". It matches the Rfam family "Eukaryotic large subunit ribosomal RNA", at positions 2343 to 2526 of the family's 3401-position model. Lineage: Eukaryota; Parabasalia; Trichomonadida; Trichomonadidae. The record is from RNAcentral.